This 492-nucleotide ribosomal RNA is filed under the name uncultured bacterium. Its description in RNAcentral is "partial 16S ribosomal RNA". It matches the Rfam family "Bacterial small subunit ribosomal RNA", at positions 29 to 507 of the family's 1533-position model. The record is from RNAcentral.
AGUGAACGCUGGCGGUAGGCCUAACACAUGCAAGUCGAACGGCAGCACAGUAAGAGCUUGCUCUUACGGGUGGCGAGUGGCGGACGGGUGAGGAAUACAUCGGAAUCUACUUUUUCGUGGGGGAUAACGUAGGGAAACUUACGCUAAUACCGCAUACGACCUACGGGUGAAAGCAGGGGAUCUUCGGACCUUGCGCGAUUGAAUGAGCCGAUGUCGGAUUAGCUAGUUGGCGGGGUAAAGGCCCACCAAGGCGACGAUCCGUAGCUGGUCUGAGAGGAUGAUGAGCCACACUGGAACGGAGACACGGUCCAGACUCCUACGGGAGGCAGCAGUGGGGAAUAUUGGACAAUGGGCGCAAGCCUGAUCCAGCCAUACCGCGUGGGUGAAGAAGGCCUUCGGGUUGUAAAGCCCUUUUGUUGGGAAAGAAAAGCAGCAGGUUAAUACCCCGCUGUUCUGACGGUACCCAAAGAAUAAGCACCGGCUAACUUCGUG